This 261-nucleotide ribosomal RNA is filed under the name Aliivibrio fischeri SR5. RNAcentral describes it as "partial 16S ribosomal RNA". It matches the Rfam family "Bacterial small subunit ribosomal RNA", at positions 1273 to 1533 of the family's 1533-position model. Lineage: Bacteria; Pseudomonadati; Pseudomonadota; Gammaproteobacteria; Vibrionales; Vibrionaceae. The record is from RNAcentral.
CCCAAAAAGUGCGUCGUAGUCCGGAUUGGAGUCUGCAACUCGACUCCAUGAAGUCGGAAUCGCUAGUAAUCGUAGAUCAGAAUGCUACGGUGAAUACGUUCCCGGGCCUUGUACACACCGCCCGUCACACCAUGGGAGUGGGCUGCAAAAGAAGUGGGUAGUUUAACCUUCGGGAGGACGCUCACCACUUUGUGGUUCAUGACUGGGGUGAAGUCGUAACAAGGUAGCCCUAGGGGAACCUGGGGCUGGAUCACCUCCUUA